This 255-nucleotide ribosomal RNA is filed under the name uncultured prokaryote. Its description in RNAcentral is "partial 16S ribosomal RNA". It matches the Rfam family "Bacterial small subunit ribosomal RNA", at positions 521 to 775 of the family's 1533-position model. The record is from RNAcentral.
UAAUACGUAGGGGGCUAGCGUUGUCCGGAUUUAUUGGGCGUAAAGAGCGUGUAGGCGGCCAGGUAGGUCUGCUGUGAAAACUCGAGGCUCAACCUCGAGACGUCGGCGGAAACCAUCUGGCUAGAGUCCGGAAGAGGAGAGUGGAAUUCCUGGUGUAGCGGUGAAAUGCGCAGAUAUCAGGAAGAACACCCGUGGCGAAGGCGGCUCUCUGGGACGGUACUGACGCUGAGACGCGAAAGCGUGGGGAGCGAACAG